CCAAGGAGUCUAGCAUGUGCGCGAGUCAUUGGGACCCUAACGAAACCUAAAGGCGCAAUGAAAGUGAAGGUUCGCCACGCGCGAACCGAGGGAGGAUGGACGGUCGAUCGUGGCCGUCCCGCACUCCCUGGGCGUCUCGUUCUCAUCGCGAGAAGAGGCGCACCAAGAGCGUACACGCUGGGACCCGAAAGAUGGUGAACUAUGCCUGGUCAGGACGAAGUCAGGGGAAACCCUGAUGGAGGUCCGUAGCGAUUCUGACGUGCAAAUCGAUCGUCGGAACUGGGUAUAGGGGCGAAAGACUAAUCGAACCAUCUAGUAGCUGGUUCCCUCCGAAGUUUCCCUCAGGAUAGCUGGCGCUCGCUUCUGGCGAGUCUCAUUCGGUAAAGCGAAUGAUUAGAGGCAUUGGGGUCGAAACGGCCUCAACCUAUUCUCAAACUUUAAAUGGGUGAGAUCUCCGGCUUGCUUGAAC
This 469-nucleotide ribosomal RNA is filed under the name Callistethus stannibractea. RNAcentral describes it as "eukaryotic LSU rRNA". It matches the Rfam family "Eukaryotic large subunit ribosomal RNA", at positions 666 to 1096 of the family's 3401-position model. The record is from RNAcentral. Lineage: Eukaryota; Metazoa; Arthropoda; Insecta; Coleoptera; Scarabaeidae.